AAUGAAAUGCGUUUGUUAGGCUAGCCGAUUGUAAAAAUAGGGAAAUUAAAGUGCGUGCUGUGCCUAUACAUUACACAAACAAUCUUAAAUCGCGGAGAUAACAUUCGUUAGACAGGCAAAGCUGUCAGCAGCAACAUGCAUAAGAGCCUUAAUAGUAAGAGGUUAAUGUUAACC
Molecule: long non-coding RNA, 174 nt
Organism: Alosa alosa (allis shad)
Lineage: Eukaryota; Metazoa; Chordata; Actinopteri; Clupeiformes; Clupeidae
Exons: 3
Source: RefSeq, a predicted model, not a curated record